Molecule: long non-coding RNA, 675 nt
Filed under: Equus caballus (horse)
Lineage: Eukaryota; Metazoa; Chordata; Mammalia; Perissodactyla; Equidae
Description: lncRNA (ENSECAG00000047904.1)
Source: RNAcentral
UAAAGGCUGAGACAGAGCCAGCCACGUGACAAGCUCUGAGGACACACUUCAGGCAGAGACAAGCUAGGAGCAGGCUCUGAAAUGAAAUGUGGCUGGUCUCAGGAAGAAAGAGCAGUCUGGACAAGAGGGAAAUCAGCACACAGGGAAGCUGACUUCAAUUUUCUCUUCUACUCUGAUUCAUCAUUGGGCCAAGGGCCCAAGACCAACCAGUUCCCGUGUCUCAUUUCAGAUUUGCAUGAAGAGUCUGAUAAGUUGCUGACCUGACAAUGAAUAGAUCACCCCAUGAUCAGUGUCUGUGCUACUUCCUUGACUUUAACAUGGAGAUGGUGUCAUACACAGAGUUGUAAUCAAGUGCCUGCUCUUUGGUGGCUGCACUAGUUUCUGGCUGUGCAACCACAAGCAACGACCUAGCCUCUCUGAUCUUCCUUUUUUUUUUUUCACCUAUAAAAUGAAUGUGCCCCAUGGGACUGUCAUAAGGAUUUUUAAAAAGAUCAUGUAUGUAAACUCCUUAUCCUAGGGCCUGGUACAUAGUCAGUGUCAAAUUAAUAUUAGUCAUUAUUAUUACCAUCAUCAUCAUCAUUCAGUCAGGAGGGCCAUUUUCAGAGCUUCAAGUUGAGCACCCAAAUUUAUUCCCAGCCAAGCCCAGCCUCCCCCCAUUUAUUAAAAAACAUAAUC